GUGCCAGCCGCCGCGGUAAUACCGGCAGCACAAGUGAUGGCCGAUCUUAUUGGGCCUAAAGCAUCCGUAGCUGGCCACGCAAGUCCAUCGGGAAAUCCACCUGCCCAACAGGUGGGCGCCCGGUAGAAACUGCGUGGCUUGGGACCGGAAGGCGCGACGGGUACGUCCGGGGUAGGAGUGAAAUCCCGUAAUCCUGGACGGACCGCCGAUGGCGAAAGCACGUCGCGAGAACGGAUCCGACAGUGAGGGACGAAAGCCAGGGUCUCGAACCGGAUUAGAAACCCUCGUAGUCC
Molecule: ribosomal RNA, 293 nt
Filed under: uncultured prokaryote
Description: partial 16S ribosomal RNA
Rfam family: Archaeal small subunit ribosomal RNA
Source: RNAcentral